CGUACACUCCUGCGGGAGGCAGCAGUGGGGAAUAUUGCACAAUGGGCGCAAGCCUGAUGCAGCGACGCCGCGUGGGGGAUGAAGGCCUUCGGGUUGUAAACUCCUUUCGCUAGGGACGAAGCUUUUUUGUGACGGUACCUAGAUAAGAAGCACCGGCUAACUACGUGCCAGCAGCCGCGGUAAUACGUAGGGUGCGAGCGUUGUCCGGAAUUACUGGGCGUAAAGGGCUCGUAGGUGGUUUGUCGCGUCGUCUGUGAAAUUCUGGGGCUUAACUCCGGGCGUGCAGGCGAUACGGGCAUAACUUGAGUGCUGUAGGGGUAACUGGAAUUCCUGGUGUAGCGGUGAAAUGCGUAGAUAUCAGGAGGAACACCGAUGGCGAAGGCAGGUUACUGGGCAGUUACUGACGCUGAGGAGCGAAAGCAUGGGUAGCGAACAGGAUUAGAUACCUCAGUAGUCCC
RNAcentral lists this ribosomal RNA (458 nucleotides) under uncultured organism. Its description in RNAcentral is "partial 16S ribosomal RNA". It matches the Rfam family "Bacterial small subunit ribosomal RNA", at positions 330 to 797 of the family's 1533-position model. The record is from RNAcentral.